GACGAACGCUGGCGGCGUGCCUAAUACAUGCAAGUCGAGCGAAGUUUUUCUGGUGCUUGCACUAGAAAAACUUAGCGGCGCACGGGUGAGUAACACGUAAAGAACCUGCCUCAUAGACUGGGACAACUAUUGGAAACGAUAGCUAAUACCGGAUAACAGCAUUAACUGCAUGGUUGAUGUUUAAAAGUUGGUUUUGCUAACACUAUGAGAUGGCUUUGCGGUGCAUUAGCUAGUUGGUGGGGUAAAGGCCUACCAAGGCGACGAUGCAUAGCCGACCUGAGAGGGUGACCGGCCACACUGGGACUGAGACACGGCCCAGACUCCUACGGGAGGCAGCAGUAGGGAAUCUUCCGCAAUGGGCGAAAGCCUGACGGAGCAACGCCGCGUGAGUGAAGAAGGAUUUCGGUUCGUAAAGCUCUGUUGUUAGGGAAGAAUGAUUGUGUAGUAACUAUACACAGUAGAGACGGUACCUAACCAGAAAGCCACGGCUAACUACGUG
Molecule: ribosomal RNA, 499 nt
Filed under: uncultured bacterium
Lineage: Bacteria
Description: partial 16S ribosomal RNA
Rfam family: Bacterial small subunit ribosomal RNA
Source: RNAcentral